Mycena floridula is the source of this 96-nucleotide non-coding RNA. NCBI's taxonomy places the organism in Eukaryota, Fungi, Basidiomycota, Agaricomycetes, Agaricales, Mycenaceae. The record is from the annotation of a GenBank genome assembly.
GCUAGCGUGGCCGAGCGGUCUAAGGCGUUGGAUUUAAGUCACGGUGUGCCUCCCAAUGACAGGUUUGUCACGCGAGUUCGAAUCUCGUCGCUAGCA